Long non-coding RNA from Carya illinoinensis, 659 nucleotides. RefSeq lists it as uncharacterized. NCBI's taxonomy places the organism in Eukaryota, Viridiplantae, Streptophyta, Magnoliopsida, Fagales, Juglandaceae. The record is from RefSeq and is a predicted model, not a curated record. The transcript has 3 exons.
GAGUGUUUUACACGGAUCCUUUGUAGCGGUGUUGUUCAAAGGUGUAAUAGAUUUUUAUCUCCAUCUGAAGGAGGUUGAAUAGUGAAUUUGGGGAUCCUCAAGGGGUAGUCUGAGGCAGGGACGUAGACAGUGAGACCGAACCUCGUUAACAUACUGAAUUCGGUUUCACCGAGUUUUAUAAAGAGCUUGAACCACCAAGUAUUGAGCAUGAGUAGCAAUCUCAACAUGCUUGACUCAAUGAUCCUCGAUACCGUGUCUUUCGAGGAGCUUUUGGGCCACUGCAACAAGAACUACAAGAAGAGCCAAAGUGAUCCUUUUGAGCUCCAAGACUGCCUCAAGAGAUGUUGAAAUUGGUGAUGAAGAAGAGAUUCCCAAUAUAUCUACACCGCUUUGCUUGGAAUCCUAGAAAGGAUUGGCUCUACCAUCUUCUAUUUCGGACAAGAUUGUACAACAGGUUCUAUUAUCAAGAGUUUGGAAGAAGAUACUUUGUAUCAUUGAACCAUUUUUUUGUUUGUUAUGCUUAAGUUGUCUACUACAAAGUCAGAUAUCUUAAAAGGUGGAAUGAGGAUUUUUCUUGUGUUUCAUGAUACUUUGAAUUUAUCAUCAAAGGCCAAUGCUUUGAUGUAAGAGACGACCUUGAUAGUGAAUUCAUAGAUCGA